AGUUCAAUGUCUUACAUCUUGAAUAAUUUCUGCUCAAUGAUUAUUUUUAAUUAAAUAGCCGCAGUACUUUGACUGUGCUAAGGUAGCAUAAUAACUUGGCCUAUAAUUGAGGUCUAGAAUGAAAGGAAGUACCUAUAAGCAACUGUCUUGUUAAGGUUAAUUUGAAAUUUUUUAUUAGGUGCAAAUACCUAAAUGAAUAUAUUAGACGAGAAGACCCUUAGAGUUUUCAUUACCAUUACUACAAUAUUUUUGUUGGGGCAACAUAGGAAUAGCUUAAUCUUCCUAAGUGUGUAAAAUAACAUGCCGAACUUAUGUUAUGAUUGAGUAUAACUACCUAAGGGAUAACAGCAUUAUCUUUAACAAGGAUUGUGACCUCGAUGUUGGAUUAGGUAAAUUUGGUAUAAGCAAUAUCAUCUAAAAGUUCUGUUCGAACUUAUACACCU
RNAcentral lists this ribosomal RNA (443 nucleotides) under Corilla gudei. RNAcentral's name for it is "partial 16S ribosomal RNA". It matches the Rfam family "Archaeal large subunit ribosomal RNA", at positions 1924 to 2666 of the family's 2987-position model. Lineage: Eukaryota; Metazoa; Mollusca; Gastropoda; Stylommatophora; Corillidae. The record is from RNAcentral.